Molecule: ribosomal RNA, 497 nt
Filed under: uncultured bacterium
Lineage: Bacteria
Description: partial 16S ribosomal RNA
Rfam family: Bacterial small subunit ribosomal RNA
Source: RNAcentral
GAUGAACGCUGGCGGCGUGCCUAAUACAUGCAAGUCGAGCGAACAGACGAUGAGCUUGCUCCUCUGACGUUAGCGGCGGACGGGUGAGUAACACGUGGAUAACCUACCUAUAAGACUGGGAUAACUUCGGGAAACCGGAGCUAAUACCGGAGAAUAUAUUGAACCGCAUGGUUCAAUAGUGAAAGACGGUUGUGCUGUCACUUAUAGAUGGAUCCGCGCCGCAUGAGCUGGUUGGUAAGGUAACGGCUUACCAAGGCAACGAUGCGUAGCCGACCUGAGAGGGUGGUCGCCCACCCGGGAACGGAGACGCGCUCAAGAGGCCUACGGGAGGCCGCAGUAGGGAACGUGACGCAGUGGGCGAAAGCCUGACGGAGCAGCGGCGAGUGAGUGAUGAAGGUCUUCGGAUCGUAAAACUCUGUUAUUAGGGAAGAACAAAUGUGUAAGUAACUAUGGCCGGCGUGACGGUAACUAAUAAGAAAGCAACGGCUAACUACGUG